AGUGAACGCUGGCGGUAGGCCUAACACAUGCAAGUCGAACGGCAGCACAGUAAGAGCUUGCUCUUACGGGUGGCGAGUGGCGGACGGGUGAGGAAUACAUCGGAAUCUACUUUUUCGUGGGGGAUAACGUAGGGAAACUUACGCUAAUACCGCAUACGACCUACGGGUGAAAGCAGGGGAUCUUCGGACCUUGCGCGAUUGAAUGAGCCGAUGUCGGAUUAGCUAGUUGGCGGGGUAAAGGCCCACCAAGGCGACGAUCCGUAGCUGGUCUGAGAGGAUGGUAGGCGACAGGGGAACGGAGAGGCGGUCGAGACCAAGACGGGAGGCAGCAGUAGGGAAUGUUGAAGAAUGGGUGAAAGUUUGAAGGAGCAAUGCCGGGGGAGGGAUGAAGGCAUUCGGAUCGUAAAACUCUGUGAUUGGGGAAGAAAAAAAGGGUAAGUAAAUAUGCACGGCUUGACGGGAGCUAAGAAGAAAGAAACGGCUAACUAAGUG
Molecule: ribosomal RNA, 492 nt
Filed under: uncultured bacterium
Lineage: Bacteria
Description: partial 16S ribosomal RNA
Rfam family: Bacterial small subunit ribosomal RNA
Source: RNAcentral